This 271-nucleotide ribosomal RNA is filed under the name uncultured bacterium. RNAcentral's name for it is "partial 16S ribosomal RNA". It matches the Rfam family "Bacterial small subunit ribosomal RNA", at positions 524 to 794 of the family's 1533-position model. The record is from RNAcentral.
CACGUAGGGUGCGAGCGUUGUCCGGAAUUAUUGGGCGUAAGGAGCUCGUAGGCGGUGUGUCGCGUCGGCCGUGAAACUUGGGGCUUAACUCUGAGCGUGCGGUCGAUACGGGCAUCACUUGAGUUCGGCAGGGGAGACUGGAAUUCCUGGUGUAGCGGUGAAAUGCGCAGAUAUCAGGAGGAACACCGGUGGCGAAGGCGGGUCUCUGGGCCGAUACUGACGCUGAGGAGCGAAAGCGCGGGGAGCGAACAGGAUUAGAAACCCUAGUAGU